RNAcentral lists this ribosomal RNA (497 nucleotides) under uncultured bacterium. Its description in RNAcentral is "partial 16S ribosomal RNA". It matches the Rfam family "Bacterial small subunit ribosomal RNA", at positions 28 to 507 of the family's 1533-position model. The record is from RNAcentral.
GAUGAACGCUGGCGGCGUGCCUAAUACAUGCAAGUCGAGCGAACAGACGAGGAGCUUGCUCCUCUGACGUUAGCGGCGGACGGGUGAGUAACACGUGGAUAACCUACCUAUAAGACUGGGAUAACUUCGGGAAACCGGAGCUAAUACCGGAUAAUAUAUUGAACCGCAUGGUUCAAUAGUGAAAGACGGUUUUGCUGUCACUUAUAGAUGGAUCCGCGCCGCAUUAGCUAGUUGGUAAGGUAACGGCUUACCAAGGCAACGAUGCGUAGCCGACCUGAGAGGGUGAUCGGCCACACUGGAACUGAGCCACGGUCCAGACUCCUACGGGAGGAAGCAGUGGGGAAUCUUGCACAAUGGGCGAAAGCCUGACGGAGCAACGCCGCGGGGGUGAAGAAGGUCUUCGGAUCGUAAAUCUUUGUUGUGGGGAAAGAAAAAAAGUAUAAGAAACUCUGCCUGUCUUGACGGUACCUAAUGAAAAAGCACCGGCUAACUCCGUG